RNAcentral lists this ribosomal RNA (377 nucleotides) under uncultured bacterium. Its description in RNAcentral is "bacterial SSU rRNA". It matches the Rfam family "Bacterial small subunit ribosomal RNA", at positions 524 to 898 of the family's 1533-position model. The record is from RNAcentral.
UACGAAGGGUGCAAGCGUUAUUCGGAUUUAUUGGGUGUAAAGGGUGUGUAGACGGUAUGUUAAGUCCGCUGUUAAAUUUCCCGGCCUAACUGGGAGCCAGCGGUGGAUACUGACGUGCUAGAGGAUGGAAGAGAGAAGUGGAAUUCCCGGAGUAGCGGUAAAAUGCGUAGAUCUCGGGAGGAACACCAAUGGCGAAGGCAGCUUCUUGGUCCAUAUCUGACGUUGAGACACGAAAGCGUGGGGAGCAAACAGGAUUAGAUACCCUGGUAGUCCACGCCGUAAACGAUAAUCACUAGAUGUUGGUUUGACUUAGUCGGAUCAGUAUCGUAGCUAACGCGUUAAGUGAUUCACCUGGGGAUUACGGUCGCAAGACUAAA